GCCCGGUUGGCUCAGUCGGUAGAGCGUGUGACUCUUAGUUGCUAUUGUUGCAAUGGGAAUCUCAAGGUCGCGAGUUCGAGCCUCGCAUCGGGCU
Terfezia boudieri ATCC MYA-4762 is the source of this 94-nucleotide non-coding RNA. The record is from the annotation of a GenBank genome assembly. NCBI's taxonomy places the organism in Eukaryota, Fungi, Ascomycota, Pezizomycetes, Pezizales, Pezizaceae.